CGUGCUUCAAAAUUUGACCUUUAGAUUAUCAUAAUCAUGACGUGUGAAUGCUUAAAAUUCUUCCGAAUCCUUUGUAUCAUAUAAAUCAAUCACAACUUUUUUAACUCUGUAAAGCCAACAUGAGGUCCUUUCUAAGCAUUGAAGAAUGAGGGUUACAUGCCCAUAAAGAAGCCCAAACCGGCAAGCCCAGCAAAAAAAAGAAAAAAGAAGAAGGUAAUAGAUUAGGUCUCUCUAAAAGUAGAGUUGAUCCAUUCAAAUCCUGGCUCGAGCCGAUAUACAAUUUUAAUGAUAAAAAUAAAGGUAAAUUAUUUAUUUGGUAUCAUCCAAAUAAUUUUCCUUUUGUAAUUUACUCACCUCCAUUAGAAGACUUUCAUUUUGGUCCUCCAGACCUUAAAUCUCCAAGGACAGCUGAUUAGUCAUCAUUUUUUUUUUUGACCCAGCACUGUUCAUCUUCUUCCUCCUGAAUCAAAUUUUCUCUCCCAGCCAUUUCUUUCUUACUUUCUUUGCUAACAGCAGGUAGGUGCACACCAAAGGGAGGGAGGGAGAGAUGAGUUCGCUUAAGCUUCAAAAACAACUCUCAGAGAGCAUUCUAUAGUGUGGAAAAUGAAAGGUUUGGCUCGAUGCAAUUGAAGUCAACGAGAUCUCCAUUGCCAAUCAACUUUGAUCGUUUUGUAAUAAUAACUUUUAAGUCGAGGCCAUAAUAUAAGGAAGCUGGUUAAAAUGGUUUUAUCAUCAGGAAACCAAUCGAGAUUCACUCUCGGUCUCGUGCGCGCUGCAUGAGGAAGGUAAGAGAAAGGGGUGUCACUCUGGAUAUGGCGUCACUCUUGGCAUUGUCAAUCUAGUGGAAAAAAAUUGGAUUAAGGAAGAACAAGAUGAUGAACUGGGCCAAAAAUGGACCGGAAAGAAUGGCUCGACGUGAAGGACAACUCGAAAAUAUGGUUCCGGCAGCACAUCACUCCUUGGAACUUUGUUUUCUCCUUCAUGCUUCGUGAAUUUUGGUUGACAAUAAAUCCUCUGGUAUUUAAGGAAAUCCAAACAACAAUGGAAAAAGCUGAUGAGUGUGCCAACACCUUCAAUAGUGGGAGUUACAUGGACAACACCUGCAUUUGAUUGGUUAAAAUUGAAUUGGGAAGAAUCUUCCAUAAGCAACAUGAGCAAGAUAUAGGAGCUGGAAGUCUCACCGGAAAUCUAGAAGGGAAUGGAUCAUCGGUUCGUUGAAAGUAGAGUUAUAAUGGACUAGACUAUUCGUCCAAGCUGAAAGGUCUGUCCGGAAAGUGAAAGGGUUUGAACAAAAAUAUAUGUCCAAAAAACGGGAUUAGACAAAUAAUAAGACCUUCUUUCUAAA
Molecule: long non-coding RNA, 1345 nt
Organism: Gossypium raimondii (Peruvian cotton)
Lineage: Eukaryota; Viridiplantae; Streptophyta; Magnoliopsida; Malvales; Malvaceae
Exons: 3
Source: RefSeq, a predicted model, not a curated record